AUUUACUUCAAGAUGAAUUCAUUACCUUCUUGAGUUGUACCUGAAAUCAGUGUGAGAGCAGCUUCCGGAACACCACCCAGAGGGGGAGGGCUGUUUUCACCUGAAGUUGGUUCUUGAAGGAACAAGAAUGUCUGAGGGACCAGCUAAAACGAGUGGGGAUCCCCAAAGACGCCGCCACGCUCUGCGCCGGCGACCCCCACUCGCCCGGCUGACCGCGGUGGGACAUCAGCAUGGUACCUUGAAGGCUCUGAGCACCACCAGGGGGUCGUCACUGGUGAGUCGGCGCACGAGCGAGGGCCAGGCCCGAUGAGCCAAGGGAAGGAGCUGGUUCUUGUGGGACUGCAGCACAACCACGCACAAAUCCAGCACAUCCAAGACCUGAAAGAGGAGAGGAUUUGAUUUUAGCAGGGCGGGAGUUCGUCGCGGGAAGCGUGGAAGAGCGUUCCUGGACGUUCCUAGAGGUAGAGAUGGCAGCAAGGAAGACCCAGAGCAGGGCUCAGGGUACUAAGGCAGGGCCGUGGGCAGCGCGACACAGGAGGAGUAAGAGGGGCCCAGCCGUGAAGGUGUCACGUUAGAGAAUUUUUUAGUUUGUACCGAGUGCAGUGGGGAGCCAUCAGAAUGGGUUAAGCAGCAAAGGGCCAUGAUACAAUUCAUGUUUGAAAAAAGUCAUUCUGGCUGCUGAGUGGGGGAGGGGCAGGAGAGAUGCGAGUGGGCCCCCCCAGGAAGCAGGCACAUGCCCGCAGGAGAGGGCAGGAAUGUGGCCGCGGGGUGGUGGCAGCAUGAAGGGGUCUGAGGUCUGUCCUGGAGGUGUGUGUGUACUGAACGUGUACACGAGCUGUGUAGACGCUGACGGCCCCUGACAUCGGGGUUAUAAAGCGAGGUGUUGACAGGGACUGCCUGGAGUAAGGCUUAGCGACUGAACGGAUGCAGGCGCCGCUGGCUGAGACAGGAGCAGGCAGGGGAGGACGCUGAGAGGCUGAGAGGCUGAGAGGCUGGGUGAGGGCAUGUUCCCUUGCUUCUACAUGGAGAAGCCAAGUAGGCAGCCGAGGUAUAGGUCCACCUCAGAAGAAGGGUUCGGGGUGGCCUAGACGUAAACUGGAUUGUUUACCCUCCCCGAGAAUACAGGUCCUGACCUGGAGUUCAGAGGGAGACUACUACUGGCCUGCCUCAGUAUCCCCAGCAGGGGUCACGACGAUGAGCAGUGUGUCCUUUCCUCCCAGAGAUGGGCUGGCCUUCACAGAGCAGAGGGGAGGGUGCACAGCUGAGUCAGAGAGACUGAGGUCUGCUAACAGAGCAGUAAACCCCGCUGGAUGUCAGCUACGUGCUGGUCACACGGAGGCCAGAACAGCAACAAAGAACAAAAGAGGGCCCGCGCGUGAGGGGAAAGAGGCAGGCAGGGCAGGAAGAGAAGCCUGGGCGUGUACUGCACAGCAAGGCAGCCCAGAGGAAAGGGUGCUGCUACUGUGGGCUUCGAGUGAGUUCUGUCACUAACUGGGCAAGUUACGUCAGACACUCCUGAUUCCAAGUCAGACAUUUCUCCUUCUGCCUAAAACGCUCAUCUCUUUGCCUUGGCCCCUUCUCAUGGCUGGCUCCUUCUCUUGAGCCUUUAAGUCUUGGCUCAAAUAUCACCACCUCGGGAGAGGCCUUCCCUGAUGACCUGGCUAAAGCCGGGGCCGAAGCUCUGUCUUCUGCAACAGGGUUUGGCAGAGAAGGCUCCUAAUGCACAUUCACAGAUGGGGGUUUACUAUUUUCUAUCACAGAACCUGCUUAUUCUCUGCAGAGAUUUCUUCGCCUUCUAGGUGUGUAUAUGUGUAUUUCCCCGCGAGAGAAAGGAAGUUCCAUGAGGACAGGGACGCCUGCUUCACUUUAGUCUGUACAGCCUCUGCCUGACCUGCAGCAGAGCGCAACACACACUCGGCUAUAGCCGAGGCUCAGUGCUUCGUAUUUAUAAUCAACAACACAGUGAGGCAGGUCCCAUCACGCCCAUUUUACAGAAGAAGCAGAGGCUUAAACAGGUGAAGUACUUGCUCAAAGUCACAGAGGCAGAGCUAGGAUGUGAACUCAGAUAUGCAGGUCUGACUCCAAUGCCGGUGAUCUCAAUAACACGGUGUGGACACGGCUGCUACAGAGCCUCCGUGAAAGGGAAGACACUCGGGCUAAUGUAUUGCCUAGACACCUACCAUCAAGCCUUGCAUACAGCCGGCACUCAAAACAGUACUUGCUGCAUGCAACAAGAGAUGAAUGCUAAGAAGCUUCUCUGAGGAAAUGAAGUGCGUUCCACAAAGCACAGACCCCGGGAUCUGAGAUGAUCCCGGAGUGGGGUUUCUGAGCCCACCACCCCGAGCAGGACAGCGUGCUCUCAUCGCUAACAGUAACUCACUGAGGUAGCUGUGUUUCUCACAUCUGCUCCGGGGUGGGGAGGUCCAGGCCCCUCCCUGUGAAAGCUUCUCCCAGGUGAUUCUGAAAGCCCUGUCCCCACGCCCAGUCGCCCCACUGUCCAGUUUCACGAUUGCUUCGUUUAAGUCCUUGCUGAUGGGGAUGAUACUUGGGAAACUGCCGGCAAACGAGGAAGUACAAUUAAGAAAUGUGAGUGUUUUUCUGGGGAUGAACAUGGAAACAGACACAGAGAUAGGGGCCAGAGUCAGGCGUGGAAGAAUGACUGCUCCCAAGGAUUAAAACCCGCCUCCCCGCAAAAAAAAUAAAACCCGCCUCCCACAUGAAGUCACUUUAGAAAAUGAUAUCCUUUCCAAAGCAUAGGGCCUUCUUUCCCUUGGAGAGUCAACGGGUGUCCAAAACUUUGUUUUUUUAGUUCCACAAAGGGGACUUGGCUCCCUUUUGGCAUCUGAGCUGAUACAGAAGGCCAUAAGGCUGUCAUCCCACAGAUAAAUUCUUCCUGAUGCCUUCCCUUGGCCACAACACAUGGACCGGGAGAUAAGGGCAGCCUCUUGCUCAUCCAUGCCGUCCCUGGCAGCCAGAGCGACCCGGGGUCCUGCUGCCGUGCAAACGCGGGGAGAGGGCUGCACACUGACCUUCAAGCGGAUCGUCAGGUUCUUAUCGGACAGCAGGUGGAUGCAGCGCUCCAUCACAUCUUUGGCUAUCUGGAUCUGCACUGGCGGCGGGGGCUCCACAUCGGGACCAGUGUCACUCUCGUCCACCUUCGGAGGCUCUGACUGCUCCUCUGGAGAAAAAGCAUAACUGGGGACAGUGUUUUAUGAGAGAUGCCCCACUUCGAUGUGCUCUCCCAACCUCAGACGCAAGGAAUGGCGUUUACAAGGAACUGAUCCUAAGGAAACCAUAAAAAAUUUGGCCUGUAGGAUCUUUCGAUGGCCAAGAUCAGGCCUUACUGAUGUCUGCAUGAGAGAUCCCAGCGCGGCAGCCUGGUAGAAUACCCAGGGAGGGAGUUUGGUCAACGGUGGUCAGUUCAAGUCCUGACUGCACCCCUAUUAGCAACCUUCUCAUCCUACACUACUUCAUCCGGAAAAAAAGGUAUAAAGCACGCACACUUCAUUUGCUUGAGAGUUAAGUAAGAUGAAUGCCACCAGCUAUCAGCACUCUUCCACUGCCUAGAGUGCUGUGUUGCACAUGAUAGGCCUAAGUUUGUAAAUUAAAACAACAAUGAAAAGACCUGAGAAUUGCAUGAAACCCAGGCCAAAAUCCCUACCCUGGAAAAUUUUCCUCUAUGUACAUGCAGCCCCUCCACCGAGCUCCCGUUACUAGCUGUGCUCAUUUCCACUGAGCUGAACGUUGUGUCCUUCACUUUUUUCCAUUUCUGUUUCCUCUACUGGAAAAAACAGAAUCUUAUAGCAGAGGUCACACCUGUCUCUACCAGAUGCUGAAAAGAUAAAUGAAAAUGCAUUUGUAGAAUGCUUGGAUUUCUUGAAGAAAGGGUCCUCAGAUACACGAGGUGCUUUCAUUGUGGCUAAAACAAAAAACACAUGUCAGACCAACAUCAAGCCAAACAUUCUUUACAAUGCCAAGUCUGUGGUGUGAACUUGAUGAAUGAUAAUUAUAAGAAUGAUAAGGCUGUGCUUUUCUUCCCAGAGGAGGAUUUGUUGUUUGAAAUUCACCUAUUGCACAAUGUUAUUUGAGGGAUGUGGAUUUUUCCGUUACUGGGAGAAAGGUUGAUUCAUUCAGUCUGCUCCUAGCCAACAUCAACUAGAACCAGAAGAUCGUAAUCGUGAAAGAAUGGAUUCACAGACAAUACUAGAAUUUCAAACAAGAAUGGCAAAUCCGGAUUAUGAGGGAUCAUGAUGCCUCCCCUCCCUCUGAGUUUCUGGGUUUUGGUGUGGGGUGCAGGUCAGGAAAAGAAAGACUGGGUUGGCUUAAGAAAUAAAACCGAGAAGAAAAGGCCUCGCAAUAGACAUCUGAUCAGAAAACUGUCCUCGGGGAGGGCAAGAACUCCACUCCGCAUAAAUCAUUCCCUGGGCCCUGUGGUAAUUCCCUGACACACUAAAGGAACUGGCGGUAGUUAGAUGCAUCGAACAGACUAUUUCCUAUUAUCCUGGAAGUACUGGUUUUAGUUCACCAGAGUCUCGGAGUGGAGACCACCAAAAAAGAGAAAGAAUCCUGCUCCAUUCCACCCUAACAAACUAAUUUGGGACUCAGUGCGAUUUAGGAUAGUUCUGAGACCACCAAGCU
Mustela lutreola (European mink) is the source of this 4638-nucleotide long non-coding RNA. RefSeq lists it as uncharacterized. The transcript is spliced from 3 exons. Lineage: Eukaryota; Metazoa; Chordata; Mammalia; Carnivora; Mustelidae. The record is from RefSeq and is a predicted model, not a curated record.